Molecule: transfer RNA, 667 nt
Filed under: Acinetobacter colistiniresistens
Lineage: Bacteria; Pseudomonadati; Pseudomonadota; Gammaproteobacteria; Moraxellales; Moraxellaceae
Rfam family: tRNA (bases 60-133)
Source: RNAcentral
ACGAAAGAUUGGUGACUGGUAAGAAUCCACAACAAGUUGUUCUUCGAAGAUGUAUCUGAGGGUCUGUAGCUCAGUUGGUUAGAGCACACGCUUGAUAAGCGUGGGGUCACAAGUUCAAGUCUUGUCAGACCCACCAAAUCUGAUUGCUGAAGCUUAGAUUAAAAGAUAUGUCGUUCAUUAAGUGAUAAGCUGGGGACUUAGCUUAGUUGGUAGAGCGCCUGCUUUGCACGCAGGAGGUCAGGAGUUCGACUCUCCUAGUCUCCACCAUGAAUUAAAAGAGUUUGUAAGAACGAAAUUAAUUCAAAGCUAAGAAGAUUAUAGAGUUUAGUGAAUACAGUCCAAGUUGACUGGUUUAUUAAUCUCUGUGAUUUAUCACAGUUUACUACGCACCGACAAGGUGGUAGUUAAUCAUUAACAGAUUAGUAGAAUUGAGUCUGAAAUAAAUUGUUCAAACUCGAUUAAUUUGACACUAACGGUAAUACGUAAGUAUUUCAGUUAGAUGAAGAGUUAAUCUGAGAACUAGCAAAAACACUGAAUCAAGCGUUUUGGUAUAUGAAUUUAGAUUGAAGCUGUACAGUGCUUAAAUGCACAGACAACGAAUCAGUAGCAAUUAAGUUUGCAACGAUAACACUCACUUGUAUGUGUUAGCGACUGUUUGGGGUUGUAU